GACGAACGCUGGCGGCGUGCUUAACACAUGCAAGUCGAACGGAAAGGCCCUGCUUUUGUGGGGUGCUCGAGUGGCGAACGGGUGAGUAACACGUGAGUAACCUGCCCUUGACUUUGGGAUAACUUCAGGAAACUGGGGCUAAUACCGGAUAGGCGCUCCUGCUGCAUGGUGGGGGUUGGAAAGUUUCGGCGGUUGGGGAUGGACUCGCGGCUUAUCAGCUUGUUUGUGGGGUAGUGGCUUACCAAGGCUUUGACGGGUAGCCGGCCUGAGAGGGUGACCGGCCACAUUGGGACUGAGAUACGGCCCAGACUCCUACGGGAGGCAGCAGUGGGGAAUAUUGCACAAUGGGCGGAAGCCUGAUGCAGCAACGCCGCGUGCGGGAUGACGGCCUUCGGGUUGUAAACCGCUUUCGCCUGUGACGAAGCGUGAGUGACGGUAAUGGGUAAAGAAGCACCGGCUAACUACGUG
This 468-nucleotide ribosomal RNA is filed under the name uncultured bacterium. RNAcentral's name for it is "partial 16S ribosomal RNA". It matches the Rfam family "Bacterial small subunit ribosomal RNA", at positions 28 to 507 of the family's 1533-position model. The record is from RNAcentral.